GACGAACGCUGGCGGCGUGCUUAACACAUGCAAGUCGAACGGAAAGGCCCUGCUUUUGUGGGGUGCUCGAGUGGCGAACGGGUGAGUAACACGUGAGUAACCUGCCCUUGACUUUGGGAUAACUUCAGGAAACUGGGGCUAAUACCGGAUAGGAGCUCCUGCUGCAUGGUGGGGGUUGGAAAGUUUCGGCGGUUGGGGAUGGACUCGCGGCUUAUCAGCUUGUUGGUGGGGUAGUGGCUUACCAAGGCUUUGACGGGUAGCCGGCCUGAGAGGGUGACCGGCCACAUUGGGACUGAGAUACGGCCCAGACUCCUACGGGAGGCAGCAGUGGGGAAUAUUGCACAAUGGGCGGAAGCCUUAUGCAGCAACGCCGCGUGCGGGAUGACGGCCUUCGGGUUGUAAACCGCUUUCGCCUGUGACGAAGCGUGAGUGACGGUAAUGGGUAAAGAAGCACCGGCUAACUACGUG
This 468-nucleotide ribosomal RNA is filed under the name uncultured bacterium. RNAcentral's name for it is "partial 16S ribosomal RNA". It matches the Rfam family "Bacterial small subunit ribosomal RNA", at positions 28 to 507 of the family's 1533-position model. The record is from RNAcentral.